GGCUAACGCUGGCGGCGUGUCUUAGCCAUGCAAGUCGAGCGGACUUAUGGGGUAACUUAUAAGUCAGCGGCGGACGGCGGAGUAACACGUAGCUAACCUACCCUCUGGACGGGGAUAACCUACCGAAAGGUGGGCUAAUACCCGAUGUAGUCAUCCUGUAUAGGGGUGAUGAAAGGUGGGCUUCUGUUUACAAGCUCAUGCUGGAGGAGGGGGCUGCGGCCUAUCAGGUAGUUGGUAGGGUAAUAGCCUACCAAGCCGAUGACGGGUAGCCGGCCUGAGAGGGUGACCGGCCCGAGGGGCACUGAGAUACGGGUCCCACUCUUACGGGAGGCAGCAGGCUAGAAAUUUGGGCAAUGGGGGAAACCCUGACCCAGUGACGCCGCGUGCAGGAAGGAGCCCUUCGGGGUGUAAACUGCUGUCGUGUAGGGAGAAGGGUACUAAGGUGAACAAUCUUAGUACUUGACGGUACUACAGGAGGAAGCCCAGGCUAACCUCGUG
RNAcentral lists this ribosomal RNA (498 nucleotides) under uncultured bacterium. RNAcentral describes it as "bacterial SSU rRNA". It matches the Rfam family "Bacterial small subunit ribosomal RNA", at positions 28 to 507 of the family's 1533-position model. The record is from RNAcentral.